This is a long non-coding RNA of Cyprinodon tularosa, 451 nucleotides long. RefSeq lists it as uncharacterized. Lineage: Eukaryota; Metazoa; Chordata; Actinopteri; Cyprinodontiformes; Cyprinodontidae. The transcript is spliced from 2 exons. The record is from RefSeq and is a predicted model, not a curated record.
AGCACAGUCACCUGAGCGACCUCCAGGUCAUGCUAACUACAUGCAUCAUCAAUGCUCUCACACACACAGAGAAGCAAAUAUUGUAUUUCACUCCAUCAUUUUCAUUUCCCUGAAGAUUUGUUCUUAUUUUAUUCAAGCUUUUCAAACUCCCAGGGCCUGAAGUUCCCCUGGGAGCCACCAUGAGCCCCGGCUGAGCAGAUGGUGCUAUUGACUGAGAAUCAGCUGUGCUGAAGCUGAGAAACAUUGAAAACCUGCAGGACAGCGGCCCUGGAGGAGCCUGAUGCAGAGCAUCCAGCGGGGGGGCAGAGGUCAGCAUCACAAAAGAAAAAUGCAAUUUAUAUAGAAACUGCUCUGAAAACAGCAGCAGGAUGAAACCACCUGCUGGUUUUUCCUCAUCACAGAAUAUAUGAGUGGAAAACUCUGAAAAAUGCUCCAAAUGAGGCUUUGCUCA